GGGCCCGCACAAGCGGUGGAUUAUGUGGAUUAAUUCGAUGCAACGCGAAAAACCUUACCUGGCCUUGACAUGUACCGAAUUUAGCAGAGAUGCUUUAGUGCUCGUAAGAGAACGGUAACACAGGUGCUGCAUGGCUGUCGUCAGCUCGUGUCGUGAGAUGUUGGGUUAAGUCCCGCAACGAGCGCAACCCUUGCCAUUAAUUGCCAUCAUUUAGUUGGGCACUUUAAUGGGACUGCCGGUGACAAACCGGAGGAAGGUGGGGAUGACGUCAAGUCCUCAUGGCCCUUAUGUGUUGGGCUACACACGUGCUACAAUGGUACUUACAAUGGGAUGCAAAGAGGCGACUCUUAGCUAAUCCCUAAAAUGUACCUCAGUUCGGAUUGUACUCUGUAACUCGAGUGCAUG
Molecule: ribosomal RNA, 405 nt
Filed under: uncultured bacterium
Lineage: Bacteria
Description: bacterial SSU rRNA
Rfam family: Bacterial small subunit ribosomal RNA
Source: RNAcentral